This is an RNA transcript of Rhodamnia argentea, 1114 nucleotides long. It is a transcript of the gene named auxin-responsive protein IAA30-like, with no coding region annotated. Lineage: Eukaryota; Viridiplantae; Streptophyta; Magnoliopsida; Myrtales; Myrtaceae. The transcript is spliced from 3 exons. The record is from RefSeq and is a predicted model, not a curated record.
CAGAAGAGAGAGAGAAAGUGGGUCGGCAAAAAGUGGGGCAGCGAAACGGACAGACCAACCCGUGUUUCAACGACCUGUCGGGCAACCCGCCCAACCCGGGCUCUAAUUCUCAAUCUCGUGUCUCUCCCCCCUCGCUACCAAAGACUGCGUUGAUUCACUUCUCUAGUCUCUCUCUCUCUCUCUCUCUCUCUCUCUCUAUUUAAACACCAGACAAGCCAAACCGCAUCGUGCCCAGAAACAGUACCGAUCGCCCCGAGAAACAGAAAGAAAGAAAGAUUCAGCCGUUUGUCUCACAAGACACCCAGAGAGAUCCGCUUAUUUUUUUUUUUAUUUGGGGGUUCUUUUGUUGGGUUGUUUGUUGUUGUUGGAUGGUCUUGAUGGAGCUCCAACUGGGUCUCGCCCUCCCCAGCAGCGACGGCUACGUGGGAGCGCAGCAGCAGCAACAGCAGCAGCGGCGGCGGCGUCACGGGCUCGACUUGGACCUCAACGUGAACGGGUUCGGCCACGGUGGCGACGAGACCAUGGAGGAGGCCGUGGGAUCGAACCGUUUCGAUCCCGGGUUGAGCCUCGAGGAAGAGGAGUGCGAGUACGAGCGAGGGGAUUGCGAGAGGAGCGUGCCCCGGACGCUUCCGCUCCUGUUCGGGACUCAGAACCACGAGGCUGAAGAAGCCGACGACGACGGCGAGGGCCAUCGCCACUUUUCCGGCGACAAGGAGUCCACGUACCUGAAGGUGACAAUGGAAGGCGUAGGGAUCGGGAGGAAGAUCGAUCUCAGCCUCCAUCGCUCUCUCCACUCCCUCAUGUACACCCUCACCAACAUGUUUGGCUUGUGUAAGCUUUCGCAACAUUUCUAUCUAAACAUCUCCAUUUCUCUUCGCGAGUUCAACCGCAAAAAUUACCAGAAAAAGAAAGAACGAAAAGUGAAAAAAGAAUCAUCGAUUUUGCUGAGCUCUCCCGUGAAACAGGCUAUGAAGAAUCCGAAAACCUGAAGCUCGCUUACCAGGACAGGGAUGGAGAUUGGGUGUUCGCCGAGAACGUGACUUGGAGGUGCUUUGUGCGGUCUGCUCAGCGAUUGAAGCUACUAAGGAUGAGUGGUUGACCGAGACCGUAGUGG